RNAcentral lists this ribosomal RNA (463 nucleotides) under uncultured bacterium. Its description in RNAcentral is "partial 16S ribosomal RNA". It matches the Rfam family "Bacterial small subunit ribosomal RNA", at positions 28 to 507 of the family's 1533-position model. The record is from RNAcentral.
GAUGAACGCUGACAGAAUGCUUAACACAUGCAAGUCGAUGGGGAAGUGGUGCUUGCACCAUGGUAACCAUGGCGGACGGGUGAGUAACGCGUACGGAACUUGCCUGCGGGACUGGGAUAACAGCAGGAAACUGCUGAUAAUACCGGAUAAGGUCAUUAAGCUGCAUAGCUUAGUGAUGAAAGGAGACGCCUGCGGAGAGCCUUGCGCCCUAUUAGCUAGUUGGAGGGGUAACGGCCCACCAAGGCGAAGAUAGGUAGCCGGCCUGAGAGGGUGGACGGCCACAAGGGGACUGAGAUACGGCCCUUACUCCUACGGGAGGCAGCAGUGGGGAAUAUUGGACAAUGGGGGCAACCCUGAUCCAGCAAUUCUGUGUGCACGAAGACGGUUUUCGGAUUGUAAAGUGCUUUCAGCAGGGAAGAAGGAAGUGACGGUACCUGCAGAAGAAGCGACGGCUAAAUACGUG